RNAcentral lists this ribosomal RNA (663 nucleotides) under Triticum aestivum (bread wheat). RNAcentral's name for it is "partial small subunit ribosomal RNA". The record is from RNAcentral. Lineage: Eukaryota; Viridiplantae; Streptophyta; Magnoliopsida; Poales; Poaceae.
AAAACAUUGUUUGCAGGCUCAUAUGCUGAUGACAUGGAGCACGACAAAGUGGAAGACUCAAGUGACAGUACCUAUAUCAACCAUGAUCCAUUGGACUAUGUGUACUCAAACCUACCAGACAACACAUACAACCUGAAGCACGCCGCAAACUGCGACCACUGCAAGGCCAAAAAUUUGAGUGAGGCCUCGGGAUUAUGCCGUCGCAAUGGGAAGAUCGAGCUAAAGGCACCGGAGCCCAUCCCAGAGCUAAUGAUGCUUUGGUCCAGCACAUAUGAGAACUCUAGGCAUUUUUGGGAGAACAUACGGUUCUUCAACGGUCACUUCUCCUUCACAAUCCUCGGUGCCAGCCUCGAUGAAAACUACACAAACAUGAAGUCUGGGGUGUACACGUUCCGGGCGCACGACACCAUAUACCACAACGUUCAUUCAUUUGGGCCAACAACUCGUCCGGAGCAUCUACAGUUGUACUUCUACGACGACGACCCAGGCCUAACCCAUCGCAAGGUUGCCACCAAGCAAUUAAACCAGAAUGUUGUCAGAAAGUUAGUGGACAUACUCAGGGAAAACCCAUACUCCCAGCUAUUAAGGAGUUUGGGUGCACAGAGGGACAACCUCGACGAUUACAGGAUAGACCUCAACACGGACCAGAGACUAGACCAAUAG